This 76-nucleotide transfer RNA is filed under the name Desulfobacteraceae bacterium. Its description in RNAcentral is "tRNA-Lys". It matches the Rfam family "tRNA". From Rfam's summary of the family: Transfer RNA (tRNA) molecules are approximately 80 nucleotides in length. Their secondary structure includes four short double-helical elements and three loops (D, anti-codon, and T loops). Lineage: Bacteria; Pseudomonadati; Thermodesulfobacteriota; Desulfobacteria; Desulfobacterales; Desulfobacteraceae. The record is from RNAcentral. RNAcentral also lists the same sequence under 1 other name.
GGGCCGUUAGCUCAAUUGGUAGAGCAACUGACUCUUAAUCAGUAGGUUUGGGGUUCGAUCCCCCGACGGCCCACCA